GACGAACGCUGGCGGCGUGCUUAACACAUGCAAGUCGAACGGAAAGGCCCUGCUUUUGUGGGGAUCCCGAGGGGGGCAGGGGUGAGAAACCCGUGAGUAUCCUGCCCUUGACUUGAGGAUAUCUUCAGACAGCUGGUGCUAAUCCCGGCUAGGAGCUCCUGCUGCUGGGUGGGCUUUGGAAAGUUUCGGCUGUUGGGGAUGGACUCGCGGGUUAUUAGCUUGUUGGGGGGGUAGUGGCAAACCAAGGCUUUGACGGCUAGCCGGCCUGGGAGGGCGAACGGCCACAUGAGGACUGAGAUACGGCCCAGACUCGUAUGGUAGGCAGCGGUGGAGAAUAUUGUACAAUGGGCGGAAGCCUGUUGCAGCAACGCCGCGUGCGGGAAGACGUCCUUGGGGUUGUGAACCGCAGUCGCCUGAGACGAAGCGUGAGUGACGGUAACGGGAGAAUAAGCACCGGCUAACUACGUG
Molecule: ribosomal RNA, 468 nt
Filed under: uncultured bacterium
Lineage: Bacteria
Description: partial 16S ribosomal RNA
Rfam family: Bacterial small subunit ribosomal RNA
Source: RNAcentral